GAUGAACGCUAGCGGCAGGCUUAACACAUGCAAGUCGAGGGGUAACGAUGUUGACUUCGGUUAACAGGCGACGACCGGCGCACGGGUGAGUAACGCGUAUGCAAUCUACCUAUAACACAGGGAUAGUCAAGAGAAAUUUUGAAUAAUACCUGAUAACGAUAUGAAUUGGCAUCGAUUUAUAUUUAAAGCGUUAGCGGUUAUAGAUGAGCAUGCGUUCCAUUAGUUAGUUGGUAAGGUAACGGCUUACCAAGGCAACGAUGGAUAGGGGUCCUGAGAGGGUAAUCCCCCACACUGGUACUGAGACACGGACCAGACUCCUACGGGAGGCAGCAGUGAGGAAUAUUGGGCAAUGGACGCAAGUCUGACCCAGCCAUGCCGCGUGCAGGAUGACUGCCUUAUGGGUUGUAAACUGCUUUUCUGCAAGGAUAAACUGUACUACGUGUAGUACACUGAAGGUAAUGUAGGAAUAAGCAUCGGCUAACUCCG
This 486-nucleotide ribosomal RNA is filed under the name uncultured Bacteroidota bacterium. RNAcentral's name for it is "bacterial SSU rRNA". It matches the Rfam family "Bacterial small subunit ribosomal RNA", at positions 28 to 505 of the family's 1533-position model. Lineage: Bacteria; Pseudomonadati; Bacteroidota. The record is from RNAcentral.